GGUAAUGUGGUUCUGUGGAAGAGCACAUGACUUUCAUGCAUGGGGUCCUGGGUUUGAUUCCCAGCACCA
RNAcentral lists this transfer RNA (69 nucleotides) under Erinaceus europaeus (western European hedgehog). It matches the Rfam family "tRNA". From Rfam's summary of the family: Transfer RNA (tRNA) molecules are approximately 80 nucleotides in length. The record is from Rfam by way of RNAcentral. Lineage: Eukaryota; Metazoa; Chordata; Mammalia; Eulipotyphla; Erinaceidae.